UUAUCUCUUCUGUUACAUCUCAGGACACCGAACAACACUGAAGAGAAAAGUCUGGUCAACCACCUUGUGAUGUGCUUCCUUGGAAAAAAUCUUUCUUCUUUUAACUUAUUGCAUAAUUUUUGCUAAGAAACUUUGAGCUUUUUCCUUUUGUUGAAUAGAAGCUGAGAUAUUCAGCUCCAGGUAGACACUGUUGACUUUGAUGAAACUCUGCAAGACUUUGCCAGCUGAAGUGCAAACUCCUUCUUUAACAGGAGAGAAGGAGAACAGAGCUGGUGUCACAUUGUGUGUCUGCACAGAGGAGAGUGGUGCUGUGCAGAGGAUCCCAGGGAUUUAGCUCAGAAGUCUCUUCCAGUGCUGUGAUGGCAAAAGACACAGCAGCAGAACCUCAUAAUGCAGCAGAGAGCAGGUACCCGACUGCAAAUCUCCAGCCCCUGGGAAAUUCCAAUGAACAGUAAGACACAAACCCCACAGGAGACUGUGCUUCAUUCAACUAAGAAGACUGGCAACAUGGUGGGAAACUCUUGGCUGCACUCUGCUGAUUCAAGUCUGGAGAAGAUAUGGGCAAGGGCAGAUGAAUGGUAAGUCCAAGAAGUUUAGGAAAUAGAGACAG
RNAcentral lists this long non-coding RNA (610 nucleotides) under Cyanistes caeruleus (blue tit). RNAcentral describes it as "lncRNA (ENSCCEG00000010676.1)". Lineage: Eukaryota; Metazoa; Chordata; Aves; Passeriformes; Paridae. The record is from RNAcentral.